Mytilus californianus (California mussel) is the source of this 1708-nucleotide long non-coding RNA. RefSeq lists it as uncharacterized. The record is from RefSeq and is a predicted model, not a curated record. NCBI's taxonomy places the organism in Eukaryota, Metazoa, Mollusca, Bivalvia, Mytilida, Mytilidae. The transcript is spliced from 3 exons.
UUGGAUUGGUUAAUGAAUAACAUGAACAAAAUUUAAUAAAACACUAGACAUUUAAGAAUAAAAGAUAAUACAAUCAUUAUAGACAUAGCAGCUUUAAAUAUUUGAAGAAAACAAAGUUAUUAUAAAAAAAUAACUACAUUCAUACAAUUGUUUACACGAAGGGUAUAGCAGAUACACGUUUUUUUUUCUGCCGAAAUCUUUGUUACUACCAUUGACAUGAUAAUCUCAUAGGGUUCCUGUAAUGAAACAACCAACUGAAUGCAUCGGCAUCUACAUCAAUUAAUGAUAUAGUUUUCGGUAUAUUUGCCUAAAUCAUAUAGCUGUACUCAAACUUUGGUAACAAUGAUCAAUCGCAAAUUUGACCCUUGCAAGUUUGUGUGAGUUUUAUCUAGAGGGUCAAGUCUGCAAGAUUUAAACGUGAGAUGUACUUGGCUUCUGUUUAUUUUCGAUUGUAAAUAAAAAAAGGUUUACUUGAUAAAGAGUUAACGAAAAUCAAACAAUAUACUCACUGAAAUGAAAAUCAUGCAUUUAUAUAAUUAACUGUUCUUGUCAUUUAGUGUGUCAGAGGAAUUUUACGGAUUAGAAAAAUUCAGAGCAAAUGUGAGUUACGAUGGUGCUAUCAAUUACAACUUUCCUACAGUUAUAGAGGUACAAUGCCAAGUUGAUGUCACAAACUUUCCGUUCGAUAGGCAAAUGUGUCCAUUGCAAUUCGGAUCUUGGAUCUACACUGGAAACUUGUUGGAUCUAAACAGUGAAAACUCUCAUGCCGAUUUAUCCGCACUGAAAGAAAAUGUGGAAUGGGAAAUAUCUAAAGUACCUGCAGAAAAACACAUAAAAAAAUACUCAUGUUGCCCAGACCCCUUUGUUCAUGUGACAUACAACCUAUAUCUGAAAAGGAAGCCAAGAUAUUAUGAAGCUAACAUUAUAUUGCCAUCAAUAAUCAUUACACUUUUAGCAACACUUGGUUUUUUACUACCGGUGGAUUCUGGUGAAAAAGUAUCCCUAGAAGUAACAGUAAUGCUUUCAUUGACAGUUUUCCAGCUAUUGGUUGCUGACAGACUACCGCCAUCAGAUGAAGAUCGACCAUUAUUAGGAGAGUUUUUCACAUUUACUCUUAUACUGUGUGGUCUUUCGACCUUUGUCCAGGUGGCUGUUAUCAACAUUUAUCACCGUGGUGACAGAAAAAUGUCAGUCUGGAUGAACAAACUGUUUUUAAUACUUAGAAAAGCAACCCUGCUGAAUCAAACGGCACAUGACCACAACAACACACAAGCUGACAACUCCCCUGUAGAUCAUGUUCAAAAUAACACUAAAGAGUGGCAAACCCUAUCAAUCUGUAUCGACAGAGUUGGCUUGAUAUUGUUCAUAGUCAUACUUACCAUUGGAUGCAUUGUUAUUUUUGCUAAUUUUACUUAAACUUAAGAUAAAAUUGCUUUUUUGUUUAGGAUUUCUUAUUUUCAAAAUAAUUUCUAUAUCUAAAACAUAUUCGUAUCUUUUUUCAUUUCUUAUUGCUGUUUUUAGACGUUCUUAAAAUAUGCCUUUAUGAUAUACUUGAAAAUUUAAUAUUAACCCAUAUCUAUUUUAUUGUAGAAAUGAUUCUUAAAUGUAUUUCACGCAUUUUCAUUGUGUUAUUGUGCUUUGCUCUUUUUUUUUAUUCUUGUCUUUCAUAUUUGCUUAUGUGCUUUGUCUAUAAAGUGUAUUUAUGCCA